This 73-nucleotide transfer RNA is filed under the name Candidatus Pacearchaeota archaeon. RNAcentral describes it as "tRNA-Thr". It matches the Rfam family "tRNA". Rfam says of the family: Transfer RNA (tRNA) molecules are approximately 80 nucleotides in length. Lineage: Archaea; Nanobdellati. The record is from RNAcentral.
GCCUGUGUAGCUCAGUGAUCAGAGCACGAGUUUUGUAAACUCGGGGUCGGGGGUUUGACUCCCUCCACAGGCU